AUAUAUAUAUAUACCGACCAUAUAGGUACGGUGUGAUCAUCAUUAGCCCGCGUCCGGGGUAAGCUGCCCACUGCAGUGGUGUGUCUGCCCCGCCAUGUAGGCACGGUGUAAUCAUACAUAAAAAUACAUAAGCAUGUAUAGGAGUCCAAGUAAAAUCUAUCAUUCUAUCGGAGUGACAUAAGGUCGGUACCCUCCGAUCAUGUUGUGGGAUAGUCAUGAUCGUCAUAUCUCACCUUGAAGGAACUAGCAGCAAGAGGUGAGACUAACAACAAGGAGUAACAUCAAUGAAAUCAUAAGGAUAGGAAUAUCGGGCUCAUCAUAGCAUCAUCAUUAUCAUCAUCACUAUCAUGCAACACAUCUCAUCUCUACUUCAUAAGAAGCUCUUAAAAUCAUUAACUUCCCUCUUUUAGAGUGUAAGAAGAUCAUGGAAAUAUAGAGAAGAAAUCACAAUAUAAGAGUCAUGCCUUUGAAAGAAGGGGACUAGCCUCACAUACCUUUACGCCUCUUUAACUUUAUCGAUUAAACGUUUCCCUCCAAUGUUCAUGAUUCUACAUUCAAGAGAAUUCGUACUAAGGUUAGAUAAUCGGAAACAUGCUUAAGCUUAAGCUAAAGCUAAUGAAAAUUGGGCAACAUCUCCUUUGUUUCUACAACUUUCUCCAUAUAAUAUAACAACUCCCAAACGUCAACAACAACACCCAUAAUAUCAUAUUCAAUAAACUUCAUCGAGCUAAACGUUAUUCAAUUCUCAAAAUUCCCUCUCAAAGUCGUCCAUAACCAUAGCUAUAAUAUGACAUCACAUUCAUCCUCAUAUAAUGCUUCUUUAACAUCAUUUAUAACAAGGUUAUACUCCUAACAUGCCAAGAACUAUGAUUCAAGUCAAGUUACUAUUUAAGAAUACCGCUAUUUUCACAUUUGAGCUUCAUAUUCUACUUUCUUCCCCAAUCCAAGUCAUUCAACCAUUCAAUAUUAUUAGUAACCAGAAAUGAUCAUAAAACUCACCUUUGAUUAUGUAGGAAUGGGCUUUGGAUGAAAAUACUUCACUUGGAGAAAACCUUACUUCAACUCCAAAGAGAUUCUUGACUUCUAGCAACCCUAGUUAGCAUCCUUGCACUUGACUCCACUAAUUAUUGGUGUUUAAUCUUGGAUUCACCUUGAGUUCAUGUUGAUGAAAUGUAUGGAAUGUUCUAGAGCUAUUGAGAGAAGUGGAGAAGAUGGGAAAUGAAAAAUAAUAACUUGGAUCACAUAUUUAUACUUGAAAAAAGAGCUGCCCCGAUCAUGUUAUACGGACACUUAUACGGUCCGUAUAACUUUAUACGGUCCGUAUAAGUGACCGUAUUUCACCAUUAGGAAUUUUCCCUUCCUGUUAAGGUUAUACGAACCCUUAUACGGACUGUAUAAAGUUAUACGGACCGUAUAAGUGGUCGUAUAACUCCAUUUUUUCGAAAUUGUUCUCGUCGAUUCGUUCGAUCUCCAAUCCUUAUGGAACCUUCUUAGAACUUGUUUAACACUUUAUUAACAAUCUAAAGAGAAUUAUAAAUCUUCCUCAAGACACUAUUAAAUCAACAUUAGCUCUGUGCUUUGUAAAAUCCUUCCAAAACACGACUUAUACCUUGCCUUCCUCAACGAACUUCCUCCUCUUGCCUCAAAUGUCUUUGGAAUUUUAAUUAGAAUCACUAAGUAACCUUUCUUACUUGUAGGGACAUUGUAUACAUCUCGCCCUGCAUUAGUCUAUCUACCACAUCAUGACAUGAAAUUUUCGGAGGUGUAACAGUGGGGGCAGCACAUUUCUGCUUUCAGCUGAGCUUUGGGGCUAAGGAGCAAAAGGAUCUCCAAAUUCCAUCUCGAUCUAGGCUGCACGUAAAAAAGGUAAAUACUCUUCCUUUUGUUAUUUUUAUUGUAGUUAUUUAUCUGUGUUUAUUUGGUUUAAUUGUUGUUUGAUUAGUUUAGUAUGCCUUUGUUUAGUUUAGUUUAGUUUAGCAUUAACUGUUUAGGUAUUUUGGUUCCAUAAUCACAUGUGUUAGGUUUGCUAUAGACUUGUUGUAUAUGCCAGUUCGUUUUAAGUCCAUAUGUAGCCAUUGUUUGAUUAAGCAUGACUUGAUCAGUUAAGUUAAUCAUUGACAUGUUUAUAGACCUGUUUAGUUUGAGUGUUGUUAAACCAUGUGUCUAUUAGAUACUAGUUAGUUGCUUGUUAAAGUGUUGUUCAUGUUAGGUUCUGCUUAAUCAUGUAUUCUCAUGUGACUCGGUCAUGUUUAAACCUUUGAUUAUUCACAUGCCUAUCAGUUUAAACCUACGUCUACCUACACAUGUAACUGUUCUAAUUUGUUUUUGUCGUAUAUGUGUUGGAAUGUUCAUCAGAUUGGUAGCUUUGUAUACUUUGUCUGGUGUAACUCAUCAUUUACAUGUUGGAUAAUUUAGACAUUGGUAUAAUGACAUGCUUAAAAAUCUAUUUGCUAUGUGAUUCAUUCUUUAAGGAUUCAUGAGAGGUCUUAGACCUAACAAAAUGCUUAAGUGAGUUUCAAAUUGAGGACAUGAGCACCAACCAGGUUUUAACAAGAGGCCAAAAGUAGGUCUAAAACCAGUUAAAUAGUGAUUUUACCUAUAAGAGGAACUAAAAAAAUGUUUGUUUAAGACCUGAACAGGAGUGUUUGACCUGUAUUAUCUAGUUCAGCAAGAUAACUACACUAUAUUAGUUGAUAAUGAGUUUAGUCUAUCCUGGUCUAUCACUAAACAUUUUCUAAGUGUGAUGUCUUAUUAAUAUAAAGUUCUUAUGGUCCAUGGUGCAUGUGUGAUGGUCUGAAAGCCUGAGUUGUGUAUGUAUGUUGGAUUAGUUGCUUGGCACUUAUGAAAACUAGUUUGAAGCUCCUGUGUAAGUAAGAAAUAUGCCUUUGUAUGACCAAUUAUGUCCUGUGCUUCUCCCUUUACAUAAAGAUAGCCUAUAUAUGCUGCAAGUGUCCACAUUUGAAUAAGCCAUCCUAUUUUUAGUGAAAUCAAGCCUGUCUGUCUGUUUGUUUGUUGGUUUGAAAAAUAGUUUAAACCUUUUGGAUGUGAAAUAAUGUUGAGAUAGCAUAAGUGACCCUGCCUUGUCUUGUUAAUCUUUUUGAGACACUAUGUGUAUAUCUCAAGUCUAGUAUGAUGGUUUGAAUGGUUGAAUUUUCCCAUAUCUUGUGUAGCUGUUCAUGAAUAUUGUUUGCUUAUGUAAAUGCAAUUGGUAAGGGCCUAUUUCAGUUUAUAUGUAUGUUGGGCUUUACCCUGCGUGUAUUUAAUCUAGGCCCAUCUGAAUUUGCUUUCAACUCUUGGGUUUUUCCUCUUUAUUUUUCUAUUAUCAUUCCAUGAUAAACAUUAAUCCUCCUAUAAUUGCAUAUGUAAUUUAUUUGUAUAUAGUUUGUACUUAAGUUUUAUUCAAAUUAGUGAUUAAGUCUAGGUGCUCUCUAACCGUGUUUUUCCUUUUCCCCUCCUCCUUUGCAUGAUGUCAUAUGGCCGGGCCAUUUGGGCCAUUUGCUACGAAACCAGCGUUGGGCCAAAGGUCCAACAGUCUUCUUUAAUCGAGUCCAUUGAAGAAUAGACAAUGUUGAAGGCCCAACCAUGGGUGAAAAUAGAACCUGGUGGGCUUAGGUAGGCCCACCAGCCUAACCCUUCUCUUCAUUCUUACAUAUAUUCAUGUAUAUUUGUAUGUAUAAUAGUUGUAUUUGUAAACAACGUUGAUAUUAUUAUUAUUGAAACCCAAAUGCAUUAGAAGCCUAGGAAA
Molecule: long non-coding RNA, 3745 nt
Organism: Lycium ferocissimum
Lineage: Eukaryota; Viridiplantae; Streptophyta; Magnoliopsida; Solanales; Solanaceae
Exons: 2
Source: RefSeq, a predicted model, not a curated record